Molecule: transfer RNA, 88 nt
Filed under: Anaerolineales bacterium
Lineage: Bacteria; Bacillati; Chloroflexota; Anaerolineae; Anaerolineales
Description: tRNA-Ser
Rfam family: tRNA
About the family: Transfer RNA (tRNA) molecules are approximately 80 nucleotides in length.
Source: RNAcentral
GGAGGGAUGGCAGAGUGGACGAUUGCGGCGGUCUUGAAAACCGUUGUGGGCGUUGGUCCCACCGGGGGUUCGAAUCCCUCUCCCUCCG